Molecule: ribosomal RNA, 1026 nt
Filed under: uncultured bacterium
Lineage: Bacteria
Description: bacterial SSU rRNA
Rfam family: Bacterial small subunit ribosomal RNA
Source: RNAcentral
GGUUUGAUCCUGGCUCAGAUUGAACGCUGGCGGAAUGCUUUACACAUGCAAGUCGAACGGCAGCACGGAGAGCUUGCUCUCUGGUGGCGAGUGGCGAACGGGUGAGUAAUAUAUCGGAACGUGUCCAAUAAUGGGGGAUAACGAGUCGAAAGAUUCGCUAAUACCGCAUACGCCCUACGGGGGAAAGCAGGGGAUCGUAAGACCUUGCGUUAAUGGAGCGGCCGAUAUCUGAUUAGCUAGUUGGUGAGGUAAAGGCUCACCAAGGCGACGAUCAGUAGCUGGUUUGAGAGAACGACCAGCCACACUGGAACUGAGACACGGUCCAGACUCCUACGGGAGGCAGCAGUGGGGAAUUUUGGACAAUGGGGGCAACCCUGAUCCAGCCAUUCCGCGUGAGUGAAGAAGGCCUUCGGGUUGUAAAGCUCUUUCGCAAGGGAAGAAAACUUAUGAUCGAAUAAAUCAUGAGGUUGACGGUACCUUGAUAAGAAGCACCGGCUAACUACGUGCCAGCAGCCGCGGUAAUACGUAGGGUGCGAGCGUUAAUCGGAAUUACUGGGCGUAAAGCGUGCGCAGGCGGUUUUGUAAGUCGGAUGUGAAAUCCCCGGGCUCAACCUGGGAACUGCGUUCGAAACUGCAAGGCUAGAGUGUGUCAGAGGGGGGUAGAAUUCCACGUGUAGCAGUGAAAUGCGUAGAGAUGUGGAGGAAUACCAAUGGCGAAGGCAGCCCCCUGGGAUAACACUGACGCUCAUGCACGAAAGCGUGGGGAGCAAACAGGAUUAGAUACCCUGGUAGUCCACGCCCUAAACGAUGUCAACUAGUUGUUGGUAGAGUAAAAUCUAUGAGUAACGUAGCUAACGCGUGAAGUUGACCGCCUGGGGAGUACGGUCGCAAGAUUAAAACUCAAAGGAAUUGACGGGGGCCCGCACAAGCGGUGGAUUAUGUGGAUUAAUUCGAUGCAACGCGAAAAACCUUACCUGGCCUUGACAUGUACCGAAUUGAGCAGAGAUGUUCAAGUGCUCGAAAGAG